GCGGUCGGCGGCGCCCCCGGAGGCCAUCAAACACUGCGUAAUUUUGCGUCGGAGUUUAAAUCAAAUUAAACAAAACUUUCAACAACGGAUCUCUUGGUUCUGGCAUCGAUGAAGAACGCAGCGAAAUGCGAUAAGUAAUGUGAAUUGCAGAAUUCAGUGAAUCAUCGAAUCUUUGAACGCACAUUGCGCCCCUUGGUAUUCCGAGGGGCAUGCCUGUUCGAGCGUCAUUACACCACUCAAGCCUGGCUUGGUAUUGGGUGCCGCGGGCCUCCCGCGCGCCUCAAAGUCUCUCCGGCUGAGCGGCUCCGUCUCUAAGCGUUGUGGAAACUAUUCUCGGUGAGAGGGGGCGGCGCGGCCGUUAAACUUUUCUUAAAGGUUGACCUCGGAUCAGGUAGGGAUACCCGCUGAACUUAAGCAUAUCAAUAAGCGGAGGAAAAGAAACCAACAGGGAUUGCCC
RNAcentral lists this ribosomal RNA (457 nucleotides) under Phaeosphaeriaceae sp. RNAcentral's name for it is "eukaryotic LSU rRNA". The stretch from base 74 to 227 matches the Rfam family "5.8S ribosomal RNA". Lineage: Eukaryota; Fungi; Ascomycota; Dothideomycetes; Pleosporales; Phaeosphaeriaceae. The record is from RNAcentral.